GGCAAAGCUGUGUCAGAAAAUGAUUUGUUGUUAAUUGCCUCUUUCCUUUCUUAGGGAAGCUCUUUGUCUUAUGGGGGUAUUGUUGGCUUUUAAUUUUUAACCUCAGCAGUGGCAGCAAUAGACUUCAAAUGGAGUGGGGAAAGCAGCCUGCUCAUCAAGAAGGGUAAGUAGUUCAUUGUUUUUUCAUUAAGGCCUAAAAUUACUGAUCAGAGCAGGUGCGAUAUUAUCAUUUAAUUUGUCUCUAUUCAAUUUUUUAGGCUGCAAGGGCUCUCCUGAGCCUCAGGGGGCACUAGCAAAAACCUGCUCCAGGCACCAAUCAUCUCAAUGACUUGCAAAAUCCAAUGGAACUAGCAAGCAACUGACCUACCAUAACUGAAGCAUUCCCCACAAUGAGCUCACUGGGGAGACUUCCACCAGGAAGUGACUCUUUGUACUGUGAUGCCAUCUAAGUAUGGACUCCUUUGCAGGAAGGAACUGUCAAAGCAGCAAAAUCAAGCUGUUUCUCUCUGCCCAGGGAAGUUUAUAGAUAGAAACAAGAAGCAUUUCUUCUCAGCUGACAAUUGCUGGGCCAGCUUCUCUGAACAAAUCUUCCGUUUUCUAGAAGACUGCAACCACUGAGAAACUUGAGGAAUGACCGAGGACAGGGGCAACUUUUUAAAGGUCAAGAAAACCUUCACCUUACACACACAUCGCCAGUAAAUUAUACUCAAUGUAAUCAUUAGAUGUUUCACUCUUCUUGCUUCAGAAUAAACAAAGCAGGAGCUUCUGCCUGUCCUGUAUG
RNAcentral lists this long non-coding RNA (781 nucleotides) under Monodelphis domestica (gray short-tailed opossum). RNAcentral describes it as "lncRNA (ENSMODG00000041815.1)". The record is from RNAcentral. Lineage: Eukaryota; Metazoa; Chordata; Mammalia; Didelphimorphia; Didelphidae.